CCAGCAGCCAGAGUACUACUUUCUCCAUCCCAGCUGCUUCACUUCCUCCUCCUCCACUGCUCCAUCCCCCAUAACCACUGUUGAGGAAGACCUAGAUCUGGCUUCCGAGUGUUGACACGACGACGAGAUCAUCUGCGCUCCCGCGGAUAGUGCUCAAGGGCAUUGAGCAUGGAACCGCCGGAUCGUCCACGCAAGAGGAAUCUGCCAUGUGUGCAAGGUGAAGGCGAUGGAAAGAAGAAAAAGCCAAGAUCCGUCGGACCCAGUGAAGGAUCCAUCGAUGGAGCCCGUGCUCGAGGCAAGGGCACUUCUCCAGCCACCCCCAAUGCCUCGGGAGGAGCUGCUGCCGUUGGGGAGGUGCCGAACGACGCUACCAGGAAAAGGAGGGGAGAGCUGGUCAAUGACAACAACCAAAGGUCGUCGAGACGGCGUGUAUCUCGGCGUACGCUUGUGUUGGUUCAUGGGUAUCCACAUCAGGCCAGUCAAGUAAUACCAUUUGUGCCGCCGGGCCUACUAGCCGAAUCGACAGUACUCCAUGGUAGAGUUGUAAGGUGUACUUGGAGCUGUCAGCAUGUCCUCUGACUAGGGUUCAGUCGCUACCCACUAGUGCAUAGAACUAGCAUGGCCAGCUUGUUGACUGCUGCAUGGACGGGGGAGGCUGAUAGAAGGUUCUAUGCAUGGCUACUAAGUAGGUUUAGGUGGCAAGACAUGAGAUUCACUUUCCCUGAUGGCCAGCAUAGAUAUUUCACUCCAAGAUCCAUUGUUAGAACAUUGGGUCUGAGUAACAGUGGCCGCCAAGUCAGUAUGAUAAAGUUGCCUCCAAAACAUAGGCAGAAUUUGGCACUCCGUAUUAGAACCAUCCUAGGGAUAGAGACUAAGAAGCGUGCCAGGGAUGGGGGGUUGACAAUUCGCGCCGUAAGCGACGCUAUCAACAGAAUGAUUGCUUCAGGAGAUCUCCGUUAUAGAGACAGAGCUUUUGAGAUGGCUUUCUCACUGUUAGCGGCUGAUACAUGUGUUGGCCCUAAGCAGUCCUACACUUUGAUACCUUGGGAGAUGUUUGCUUGUGUGCUGUGCGCUGAGGGGACUGGUGAGUACGAUCUAGCAGAAUGGGCAUUUGAGAUCAUCAGAGCAGCUGUGAAAAAACUACAAAAAGAUUUGGUGGCUGGGGUGAGAACUCUGAUUGUUGGCGGUAGCCAUUUGGCACUCAUUCCGUGGUUCUUCGACUGGAUGAACUUCGGUGCAGAUAAUGUGGAGCCGCACACUGUCCCCCACAUCAGCGUUUACACCGGGGAGAUAUGCAGGAGGCUGAUAUAUCUCACAAGGGAAUACCCCUCUGUUUUUAGUGUAAGACCAGACCAAGUCUUAUGAUGAGUUCAACCCAUUAGAUGAUGUGUGGCAUGGGGUGGUGGGCGAGCCUGGUGGGAUCCUGCGACAUCCAAGUAAAAAGAAACAAGCCUCAACUGGAAGCGCUGCGGGCAGUUCAGGGUAUCAUUGCAGCAAACCAACAGGCUGCCAUGGAUUGUUCCAUAAAGGAAGGCGAUGAGGACCCCAGGGUUGAAUGCGAGGACGAUGAGAAGCGCAGGGAACGCACAGCUGCUAAAGGUAAAUGGGCAGCAAAAGAGAGUUCAGAAAGCUCAAGCAGCGACAGUGAUGACGAACCAAUCGGCCCUAGUGUCCGACUAGGCAGAAUGUUGGAACGAGCUGACAUACGAGGAAAAAACAUUGAUCCACCAAAUCCCAAUGCCAGCUUAAGAAUCAGCAAUGAUGUCUGGAAUGCCCGCGUUACAGGCAAGUAUUGACAAACAAAAUUGCAUUUACCAUUAUCAUUUCCGAAAAGAAGUUGUGAUAUGGAGCUUCAACAUGAUGGUAUUACCAUGCAAGCCCGCGUAGCAUGAACCGCAUGCGGGCACGUCUGCAGCCUAGAAUUCGUGAUCAAGAUGCUGGGGGGAGUGUAGCAAGGGGAACUGCUAGAGAUCCAUCUAUGCUACGUAGCAGGGGAGAGACCCUGAGAGCAGAGCUGACAGAACUUGAGGCCCAGGCGAAAGCAUACCUAGAAUAUGCGCAAAUCCAUGGAAUUUUCCCGCAUAGGGAAGGAACUUCUAAUGAUGAUCCAGUGAUUGUUGACGAGGAGAGACGUGAGCGUCUAAGGUCCUUAUCUGCGGCUGCACUUGCUAUUGUGGAGCAAGCUAUGGAUAAUCCAGAAGUUUUCGAAGGCAUAUUUGAUCAAGCUAGAAGACUUCCUUCAAAUGUUGGAGCUGACGGAGGCGCCAAAGACAAACAUGCAUUUGGCAACAGCAGAUCCAAUGGUAACAACCAAGAACAGAUACACUGGGCAGAACUAGAGAGGGACAGCCAAGAUGACCAACAUGAAAAUGAAGGUGAAGCUGCAUGGGAUGUACUAACUGACGGCGAAGUUAGGGACAAGAAAUAGAGGGAGCUACUGAAUGCAAGCCAAUAGGCGGCUGCAAACCUGUCUCCACUCGCCGCCAACGGUGAGCGUAUGGUCAGCAGGGGACAGGACUCCUUGCGUCGUAACGAGGAUCUAGAUGAUGAGUUCUUUGGGGGUGCAUCAUUGGCAGGUACUGACUAUUCUGGUGAAGAAGAUGAGUCAACGGUAGCAUCGCAAGUCCCAAUCGACUACAUGGACGAAGCUGAAGCAUUGAAUGGUGAAACAAAUAUGCCGGGAUUGAUUAACUUAAAUGAUUUGCUAGCUGCCCUGAACACAUGCGUCUGGUGGAUCGCGUGGAUAGGAGCAAUACUUGUGGUUGGUAGCGCAAGGGCAGGAGAUGCUGAUGAUGAAGACCCCCCCCCCAUCAGCGGCCCUAUAUUGCUGGGUUGGCACGGUGUUCUAGAUGCACCAGACGGUCCAACAGAUAUGGGAGAGCAGCGUUCCAGGCAGCGUCGAAGGGCCCGUCCACAUGGAUUAGAUGUUCCAACAACAUGUCGGCCUGGUCCUUCCUUCCAACAUGACAACGGAGAUUCGGAUGAUGGUGAAGCUCGUAGACAUGGACUGCAAUCUGUGAAUGAUGGGUCAGCCACAUGCUUACAGCAAGCAGUGAUCACGUAUCUUCAUGACUGUGAUGCUGCCAAAAAUGGUAAAACACACAUAGUAGCUGCAGACAUGACCGAUACAGACGAAAUGGGUGCAGCAGUGGACCAAGUCGCUCGAGCAGCAAAUGUGGUGGUUGAGCAAACCAGAACCAAUGAAAAUACGGCUCGUCCAACUGUGCUAGAUGUGCAAACAUACUGCAAUCCUGGUCCUUCUUUCCGGCGUCACGAAGCAAGUACUUUAACAUGAAUGUUUGUACAACUGUAUAUCUUGGUAAACCUUUUGUACCCACUGAGAAAAAUAUGUGUGCUGCAGAUGGCGCCGACGGUGAGGCUCGUGCACAGGGUUUUGCUUUAAACGGGACUGGCUCACUGACUAACUUCUGACAAGUUGUCCUCACUUAUCUGAAAAAAAUGUGGGAUUAAGCACACUGUGACACACGACAGCAAGAGACAACAUGAAUCAGCAGGGACUGGUGUGGUAGGUGAGAAAACAUCUUCAAGGAGGGAUUGGGGGGAUAAGUACCCGCCGUCAAUUGGGUUGAACCAUUCCCAUCCCUAUCCUGAAGCAAUUUCAAGGUUCAAUGCUAACAUGACUGCCUGUGAGGGUGGGAUUUUAAAGAAGAAAUGGGUUAAGCACUUCCAUCCAAUUUUGGCGAUCGCGUCAGGACAAGACAUCAAAGAUGAGUUGACACCAGGGGGAGGUGACCAUGAAUGUUUGGAGGUGUAUUCAACACAUGCUACGUGAAAAGGAUAAUGGAAUAUACGGCGAGUGGCUCGACAGGUUCAGGGGGCUAUUCGACCCACGCUUCGUUGGAUGACGGCGAAAUGGACUGGGAUUACAUAGAAACUAUGAUGAAUUCAGAAGUAAUUGGAUAUAGGAUUGAUUGGCUGAAGAAGUUUUGGUUCCCAGUUGAUUUUAUGGACUGCUGGUCAGUGUACCUUCUGGACAAGGAUGAAAAGACGGUGAUCGUGCUUGACCCAACCGAGACCGAUGUCAUGGAUGAGAUGAAAAUUAAACACGAGAGCCAUGCAAAGAAGUUCCAGCGAAGGUUCUGCUCUCUAUUCAACAACUAUUUCGGCAACGGGUUGGUUGAAACAGAUGGUUGGAAAUUCCUCUACCCAUUGGUGGCGCAGCAUGAACCGUGCAGUAGGGAAGACAGCGGAGUGUACAUCACACACUACUACACAGACUUCACCGGGUUGUACCUCCGUUCAACACUGAGCCAGGACCAGAUUGAUGGUUUGCGUGCAAAGCUCGCCUAUGAAAUUGUGACCAUGAAGGGGAACAAGGGAGACGUUCCGGAGUUCGCAUACGACAUGAUCAUAGAUUGAUGGCCUGAAGAUGAGCAUGCAAGUAGGGCCCUGGGGAGACCGACUCCAGGCUCGGCAGAUCUUUUGUCUAUCCUCGUGGUAUUAGUAGUUGCGUAGCUGAAGGACUAAGGUUUCAUUUUGGAUCGCUCGAAAAACCACUAAGGCGCAAAAUAGUAGUUUUAACCAGCGAUGUAACCCCUAAGUAUGACCUUAAGACCUAUAAGCUUGUGUCUGACAGAAGUGCGAACGACUGCUUGUCCUGGGCAAGUGAAAACUUAUCACUAUCACUU
This is a long non-coding RNA of Triticum aestivum (bread wheat), 4649 nucleotides long. RefSeq lists it as uncharacterized. NCBI's taxonomy places the organism in Eukaryota, Viridiplantae, Streptophyta, Magnoliopsida, Poales, Poaceae. The transcript has 19 exons. The record is from RefSeq and is a predicted model, not a curated record.